This 373-nucleotide ribosomal RNA is filed under the name uncultured bacterium. RNAcentral describes it as "bacterial SSU rRNA". It matches the Rfam family "Bacterial small subunit ribosomal RNA", at positions 525 to 896 of the family's 1533-position model. The record is from RNAcentral.
ACGGAGGGGGCAAGCGUUAUUCGGAAUUAUUGGGCGUAAAGGGCGCGUAGGCGGCUUGACAAGUCAAAGGUGAAAUCCCUCGGCUCAACUGAGGAACUGCCUUUGAAACUGUCUGGCUUGAGGCCGGGAGGGGGUAGCGGAAUUCCCAGUGUAGCGGUGAAAUGCGUAGAUAUUGGGAGGAACACCAGUGGCGAAGGCGGCUACCUGGACCGGUUCUGACGCUGAUGCGCGAAAGCGUGGGUAGCAAACAGGAUUAGAUACCCUGGUAGUCCACGCUGUAAACGAUGAGUGCUCGGUGUCGCGGGUAUCGACCCCUGCGGUGCCUUAGCUAACGCGUUAAGCACUCCGCCUGGGGAGUACGGUCGCAAGGCUG